Long non-coding RNA from Oncorhynchus tshawytscha (Chinook salmon), 772 nucleotides. RefSeq lists it as uncharacterized. The record is from RefSeq and is a predicted model, not a curated record. NCBI's taxonomy places the organism in Eukaryota, Metazoa, Chordata, Actinopteri, Salmoniformes, Salmonidae. The transcript is spliced from 3 exons.
AUACUUAAUAAUUAUAUGUCUCUCUAAUUAUCUGUCUCAAUGGGCUGGAAGGAGCUUGGCCAACCUGACGGAUGGAAUGUGAUGAUACACUAGCAAGGCUGGACGGCAUGUGUUUAGUGUGUAUGCGUCACAGGGGGCUGCUGAGAGGAGGACGGCUCAUAAUAACGGCCGGAACGGAGUGAAUGGAAUGUCACCAAACACAAUGGAGACUACGUUGGAUGUAGUUGACACCGUUCCAUGAAUUCUGCUCUAGCCAUUACCACGAGUCCUUCCUCCACAAUGAAGGAGGACAAGGGAAGAGUAAUCGAUCAGCAACCAGGCCCAGACCACAGUGUGAAACCCUGUCAAUACAGGAUGCUCAAACGAGACACAGAGACGAGACACAGCGAGCCAAUCCCUAUUUUACUGUCCAGCAGACGGAUCAACCGACAACUUCUAUUGGAUGACGCAGCAGUACUCGGAAAUGUGAGGAGUCACAACAAAAUCGAAUCAAAUCAAAUUGUAUUGAUCACACACACCUAUUUAGCAGAUGUUAUUGCGGGUGUAGCAAAAUGCUUGUGUUCCUAGCUCCAACAGUGCAGUAAUUCAAAGACUCAAUCAUCGACUCUCUUACUGACAGUUGUGGCUGCUUUGCGAGAUCUAUGUUGUCUCUACUUUCUUGCCCUUUGUGCUGUUAUCCGUGCCCAAUCAUGUUUGCACCAUGUUUUGUGCCGCUAUCAUGUUGUAUUGCUACCAUGUUGUUGUCAUGUUGUGUUGCUACCAUGCUGUGUUG